CGAAUUCGCCCUUCCUACGGGAGGCAGCAGUGGGGAAUAUUGCGCAAUGGGCGGAAGCCUGACGCAGCGACGCCGCGUGGGGGAUGACGGCCUUCGGGUUGUAAACCUCUUUCGACCUUGACGAAGCCUUUCGGGGUGACGGUAGGGGUAGAAGAAGCACCGGCCAACUACGUGCCAGCAGCCGCGGUAAUACGUAGGGUGCGAGCGUUGUCCGGAAUUAUUGGGCGUAAAGAGCUCGUAGGCGGUCUGUCGCGUCGGUCGUGAAAACUUGGGGCUUAACCCUGAGCUUGCGGUCGAUACGGGCAUGACUGGAGUUCGGCAGGGGAGACUGGAAUUCCUGGUGUAGCGGUGAAAUGCGCAGAUAUCAGGAGGAACACCGGUGGCGAAGGCGGGUCUCUGGGCCGAUACUGACGCUGAGGAGCGAAAGCGUGGGGAGCGAACAGGAUUAGAUACCCUGGUAGUCCACGCCGUAAACGGUGGGCGCUAGGUGUGGGGGCCAUUCCACGGUCUCUGUGCCGCAGCUAACGCAUUAAGCGCCCUGCCUGGGGAGUACGGCCGCAAGGCUAAAACUCAAAGGAAUUGACGG
This 586-nucleotide ribosomal RNA is filed under the name uncultured Pseudonocardia sp. RNAcentral's name for it is "bacterial SSU rRNA". It matches the Rfam family "Bacterial small subunit ribosomal RNA", at positions 325 to 916 of the family's 1533-position model. Lineage: Bacteria; Bacillati; Actinomycetota; Actinomycetes; Pseudonocardiales; Pseudonocardiaceae. The record is from RNAcentral.